Malania oleifera is the source of this 3212-nucleotide RNA transcript. It is a transcript of the gene named splicing factor-like protein 1, with no coding region annotated. The record is from RefSeq and is a predicted model, not a curated record. Lineage: Eukaryota; Viridiplantae; Streptophyta; Magnoliopsida; Santalales; Ximeniaceae. The transcript has 3 exons.
CUUGGCCCUUGGAAUUAAUUUUUAGGUUAGGAGUCUUAGGACUAGAAGUAGAAGUCGAAGAUGCAACUGUUGGUUAUAACGGGAACGCGGGAACACUGUAGAAUUCUCUCUUACGACCCCCCAGUGAACUCCGUCGUGACUGCGCUUGCAUUCAGCUUACCCUAUCUCCAGCUACCCCCUCGUGUGCAGCCUAUGGAAUCCUUUGAAUCAAACCCUAACCCACCGAUUGAAACCCUAGAAUCUCCGCCGGAAUCUUGCACGCCAGCUCUGCAAAAUCCAAUUCGAAACUCACCCGAAGCUCUAAUACCGUUCCAGCCUCUGGAAACCCUAGCUUCGUCUGAUCAGUAUCCAUCCGAAGCCCCGGAUUUUGAUGGUGGAAAUCCGGUGCCGCCCUCGGGAACCUUAGAAGAGAGUGAUAUAAACCCAUCAGAAAUCUUAAUUCGAGGAGGAAGCUACGAGCUUCAUCCAGGAGCUGAAGCUUUUGAUGACAGAAACCUGAGAAAUUCAUCCGAGAAAAACUCAGAAAAUGGGUAUCCUGGAAAUAAUCAGCCUGAGAAUCAUCAGUUUGAUAAGACGCAGGAAAUGGAAAUUGCGAAGCCACUAGUGUCGGAAAAUGGGGUUGUGAAUAAUCUCAAUGGCACCGACAAGGACUGCUCUGGUGGGGAGGAGGAGACAACGAGUAGGCGCCGUCGGCGGAGCCGUUGGGACCCCCCAGGGGACUCGAACAACCAGGGCUGUGAGACGAAGAAGAGGAGGUCGAGGUGGGCGGAUGAUGAGCCAAAGCCUGUUGUACAAUUGCCAGACUUCAUGGGAGAAUUUAUGGGAGGUAUUGAAUUUGACACUGAGAUUCGCUCACUUAACAGUAGACUUAUUGAAAUUAGUCGGAUGUUGCAAUCGGGUUUGCCCUUGGAUGAUAGACCUGAAGGCGCACGUUCGCCUUCCCCUGAGCCUAUCUAUGAUAAUAUGGGGAUUAGAAUAAAUACUAGGGAGUAUCGUGCCCGUGAAAGGUUGAACAAAGAGAGACAAGAAAUUAUAUCACUAAUUAUGAAAAAGAACCCUACAUUUAAGCCCCCAGCAGAUUAUAGACCUCCAAAGCUUCAGAAGAAGCUUUAUAUACCAAUGAAAGAAUACCCAGGUUACAAUUUUAUUGGACUUAUAAUUGGGCCAAGGGGAAAUACCCAAAAGAGAAUGGAAAGAGAGACAGGUGCAAAAAUAGUGAUUCGGGGAAAGGGUUCAGUGAAAGAAGGGAGGUUGCAACAGAAGAGGGAUUUGAAACCAGAUCUUUCAGAGAACGAGGAUUUGCAUGUUUUGGUGGAAGCUGAUACACAAGAGGCUCUUGAUGCUGCUGCGGGGAUGGUGGAGAAGCUCUUGCAGCCUGUGGAUGAAGUGUUGAAUGAGCAUAAGAGGCAACAGCUUAAGGAACUUGCGGCCUUGAAUGGAACUAUAAGGGAUGAAGAGUAUUGUAGGUUAUGUGGGGAACCGGGUCACCGCCAGUAUGCAUGUCCUUCUCGCACUACAACCUUUAAAAGUGACGUCCUAUGUAAAAUAUGUGGCGAUGGUGGACACCCAACAAUUGACUGUCCGGUGAAGGGGACAACAGGAAAGAAAAUGGAUGAUGAAUAUCAGAAUUUCUUGGCAGAAUUAGGGGGGACAUUACCUGAGUCAGUGACCAAACAAACUUCUACCUUGCUUGCUCUUGGUUCAGGUACUUCAGGAAACAAUCCUCCAUGGGCCAGUGGUAACAGUGCUGGGAUUGUUGGUAAUACAUCUAGAGCUGGAUUGGGCUUAAAUGCAAGUAAACCCAUAAAGGAAUUUGAUGAUACAAAUUUGUACGUUGGGUACCUGCCACCCACUCUCGGGGAUGAUGGUUUGAUCCAAUUAUUUUCACCUUUUGGUGAUAUUGUCAUGGCUAAGGUUAUCAAGGACCGGGUAACUGGAUUGAGUAAAGGUUAUGGUUUUGUGAAGUAUUCUGAUGUUCAACAGGCUAACAAUGCAAUUUCUAGCAUGAAUGGUUAUCAUCUAGAAGGGCGAACACUUGCUGUGAGAGUUGCAGGUAAGCCCCCUCAGCCUGCUGUGCCUCCAGGCCCUCCUGCAGCAACGGUGUCUGCAUACCCUGCUUCAAAUCAGGCUGUUGGUGGCUAUCCAUCUCAGCAGUAUACAACUGGUGCUACCCUCGGGAAUACACCUCCAGGGAGUUAUGCUGGUGCCCCUGUUCCAUGGGGCCCACCUGUUCCUCCUCCUUAUGUUCCAUAUGCUCCUCUACCUCCUGGUUCGAGUAUGUAUACUCCUGUCCACAGUCAACCUGUGCCCCCUUAUGGCAUUCAGUAUCCAUCAGCAAUGCAGGCUGUUCCCUCUAGUGUCCUGACUCAGACAGUUUCUUCCAGUGAAACGCAACAAAAGUUCCUCCCUGGGGUACAGUCUGAAAAUAGGGCAUCUGUUCAACUGGCACCUGCAAAUAUAUAUGGGAACUCUGUAAUGCCUCUGAAUACUCAACCAACAUAUGCAACAUCUUCAUUAGGUUACCCAUCUUACUACAGUGUAGCUCCUUCACCAUUACACCCUUCAACAGUGGAACAAUCACAGAGCAUGGCAAAUGUACCUUGGGCUGCUAAUGCUCCAGUCCCUCCUCCUGUAUCAUCUGCAGAAAAGGCAACCUAUGGUGCAAAUGCAGAGUAUGAGAGGUUUAUCUCAGAGAUGAAAUGAUGUGGUUCCUAUCCCAAUAUUGCUGGAUUGCUUCUGGGCUGAAAAAAUUUUAAAGGUGACAACUAAGAACUUACAUCACAUUUGGUUUGUGGAAUGGAAAGGGAUGACAAUUUUAGUGGAGAACAUGAAGAAAUUAAGUGGCAUAAUGUGUCUUGGAGCUCUUGUGAACCUGAUUUCUUACAUCUUGCCAUGACAUCUUGUUGGAAGUUUGGAACUCACAUCUCUAACCUUGCUGUACUGUUAUGAAAUUUGCAGAGACUUGGAUAAAAAGUUCGGUUAAUUCAGUUAUCAAUUUUGGAGAAAUCGUCACAAAAGUUAUUUGGAUCUCCUUCUCUAAGACAUAAAUCUUGUCUUCUUGUUGAUGUUUAUUGCAUUCAUGCAGAUUUUGGUUGGUGUUGUUUUAUUAUUAUUAGCUCAUUUUAACUUCCUUGAAUUGUUGGUUGCUCACCGCUCACCUUGUAUGUUUUACUUUCCAUUUAACUUCUUGGGUUGAUCAAGCAUUUCAUCAA